CAGAGUAAAUUUUUCAGGGUCUUGGUUUUAUAAAAUUAGUUGAAGGUACUGUUAAAUGAACUUUUGGCUUUGAUAAUGUUGAUAAAAUUACAGGACUUUUAGCAGUCUUAACUGAAGUAUAAAUGACUAAAUGAAUUACAGAUAAUGUGUGAUCUCACACGUUCUUACUUGGCCAUGAAACCAUUACCACAAUCAAGAAAAUGAACAAAUGGACAUCCCCUUCCUUAAAGACAGACAAUUUUGUUCUACAGACAAGAGGAGAGGAAGAUGAUUCUCUGGCCAUUAAACCACCCCAGCAAAUGUCUCGGAAAGAAAAAGCCCACCACAGAAAAGAUGAGAAGAGAAAA
This is a non-coding RNA of Cricetulus griseus (Chinese hamster), 347 nucleotides long. NCBI's taxonomy places the organism in Eukaryota, Metazoa, Chordata, Mammalia, Rodentia, Cricetidae. The record is from RefSeq and is a predicted model, not a curated record.